CACGUAGUUAGCCGAUGCUUACUUUGCAGGUACCGUCAUUUGAUUCGUCCCUGCUUACAGAGGUUUACAUCCCGAAAGACUUCGUCCCCCACGCGGCGUCGCUCCGUCAGGCUUGCGCCCAUUGCGGAAAAUUCCCCACUGCUGCCUUCCGUAGAAGCCUGGGCCGUGUCUCAGUCCCAGUGUGGCUGAUCGUCCUCUCAGACCAGCUAUUGAUCGUCGCCUUGGUAGGCCUUUACCCCACCAACUAGCUAAUCAACCAUAGGCUCCUCUAAAAGCGAUUAAUCUUUCUUCGUAACUAUCUCAAGCUACGACAUUACGCGGUAUUAGCAUUCCUUUCGGAGUGUUGUCCCCCACUUUAAGGCAGAUUACCUAUGUAUUACUCACCCGUCCGCCACUAGCUCCGAAGAGCCCGUUCGACUUGCAUGUGUUAAGCACGCCGCCAGCGUUCGUUCUGUAGCGACGGAGUCAAACUAC
Molecule: ribosomal RNA, 474 nt
Filed under: uncultured bacterium
Lineage: Bacteria
Description: partial 16S ribosomal RNA
Source: RNAcentral